Molecule: ribosomal RNA, 301 nt
Filed under: uncultured bacterium
Lineage: Bacteria
Description: partial 16S ribosomal RNA
Rfam family: Bacterial small subunit ribosomal RNA
Source: RNAcentral
CAGUCGCCGCGGGAAUACGAAGGGUGCAAGCGUUACUCGGAAUUACUGGGCGUAAAGCGUGCGUAGGUGGUGGUUUAAGUCCGUUGUGAAAGCCCUGGGCUCAACCUGGGAAUUGCAGUGGAUACUGGAUCACUAGAGUGUGGUAGAGGAUAGUGGAAUUUCCGGUGUAGCAGUGAAAUGCGUAGAGAUCGGAAGGAACAUCUGUGGCGAAGGCGACUAUCUGGGCCAACACUGACACCGAGGCACGAAAGCGUGGGGAGCGAACAGGAUUAGAUACCCCUGUAGUCCCUGUCUCUUAUAC